RNAcentral lists this ribosomal RNA (267 nucleotides) under uncultured Glomus. RNAcentral's name for it is "partial 18S ribosomal RNA". It matches the Rfam family "Eukaryotic small subunit ribosomal RNA", at positions 548 to 822 of the family's 1831-position model. Lineage: Eukaryota; Fungi; Glomeromycota; Glomeromycetes; Glomerales; Glomeraceae. The record is from RNAcentral.
UUGGAGGGCAAGUCUGGUGCCAGCAGCCGCGGUAAUUCCAGCUCCAAUAGCGUAUAUUAAAGUUGUUGCAGUUAAAAAGCUCGUAGUUGAAUUUCGGGGUCAGUAGGUUGGUCAUGCCUCUGGUAUGUACUGGUCUCACUGAUUCCUCCUUCCUUAUGAACCGUAAUGCCAUUAAUUUGAUGUUGCGGGAAUUUGGACUGUUACUUUGAAAAAAUUGAGUGUUUAAAGCAAGCUAACGCUUGAAUACAUUAGCAUGGAAUAAUGAAA